AGAGGUGGCAAGCGUUGUUCGGAAUUACUGGGCGUAAAGGGCGCGUAGGCGGCCUUCUAAGUCGGACGUGAAAUCCCCAGGCUUAACUUGGGAACUGCGUCCGAUACUGGAGGGCUUGAGUGCGGGAGAGGGAUGUGGAAUUCCAGGUGUAGCGGUGAAAUGCGUAGAUAUCUGGAGGAACACCGGUGGCGAAGGCGGCAUCCUGGACCGACACUGACGCUGAUGCGCGAAAGCCAGGGGAGCAAACGGGAUUAGAUACCCCGGUAGUCCUGGCCCUAAACGAUGAGUGCUUGGUGUGGCGGGUAUCGAUCCCUGCCGUGCCGAAGCUAACGCAUUAAGCACUCCGCCUGGGGAGUACGGUCGCAAGGCUGAA
Molecule: ribosomal RNA, 373 nt
Filed under: uncultured bacterium
Lineage: Bacteria
Description: bacterial SSU rRNA
Rfam family: Bacterial small subunit ribosomal RNA
Source: RNAcentral